GAAAAGGUGGAGGUAGAGGAAACUAGAGAAACUCAAAGGGUGGUGACAAGUCGAAGUAUAUAUGCUUCAAUUGUCACAAGACGAGUCACUUCAAGAGGGAUUGUCCCGAAUCAAGGAACAAUGGUAACUCCACACAAGUUGUAAUUGUCUUAGAGGAUUACAAGGAUGUGAGUGAUAUGGCGGUGUUAUGUUGGGGGAGAUGAAGAAGGUGAAGUUCGUCACCUUGGAAAUGAU
Molecule: long non-coding RNA, 234 nt
Filed under: Medicago truncatula (barrel medic)
Lineage: Eukaryota; Viridiplantae; Streptophyta; Magnoliopsida; Fabales; Fabaceae
Description: long non-coding RNA (MTRU_LNC003503)
Source: RNAcentral